AGAGUGAUCAAUUGUCCUGGUUUGCCUGGGACAGAGGGGCUGUCCAGGACAUGUCCAGUGC
This 61-nucleotide microRNA precursor is filed under the name Otolemur garnettii (small-eared galago). Its description in RNAcentral is "miRNA (ENSOGAG00000023677.1)". The record is from RNAcentral. Lineage: Eukaryota; Metazoa; Chordata; Mammalia; Primates; Galagidae.